UUUCUUCUGGGUCCCCCUACAUGGGUGCAGGGGCCCAAGGGCUUCCAUUGCUUUCCAAGGCACAUUAGCAGGGAGACGGAUCAGAAGUGAAGCAGUCGAGACUUGAACUGGCGCCCAUGUGGGAUGCUGGCACUGCAGGUGGUGGCUUUAUCCACUAUACCACAGCGCUGGCCCCACAUUUUUUUUUUCUUAAAACACAUUUUCCAUGAACUUUUUGAAAACCCCUCAUUAAUAAAAUUGUCAGGCUGUGCAGACUAGAUGAGAGAACACCUGGGGGAGUAUAGAUGUCACCAAGCCAUUGUGAUGUGUGGGAGGCUGCUUGUCCUCUGAUCAGUGUCACUCACAGUAGCCAUGUAUCUUUCUUUACACUUCACUUUCAGAAUCCCCUAUUUCUGCUGGUCCUGAGACGGGAGGCCAAGCAGGCGCUAGGAUGCUGCCCAAAGGUGUACAGAAGUGAAAAGGGAGAGGAGCCUCUCAAAAUGAUGGGGCACCACCUGCUGGCUGAGGUGCAGAGAGGUCGUAAGCCUCCUUUGUAAGCGCCCCGGGGUCUACUCGCUCUGGAAGAAGGAUUGGGAAGGAGAAAGAUAAAUCCAUCCUCGCCCCUUUCCACACAGCUCCUCUCUGCUUCUAUGUCCUCUUUUCUAAAUUACAAGUAACAAAUGCCACUUCUGAGGAUUUCCGUAAGGAUUCUGAGAGGCAACUGGUGGAAGCAGCAAGCCCCGUGCUCAUUUGGCACUCGGUAUGGAAAUUGAGGUUUGAAGAAGUGAAAUGAUUUGGAUCAAAAACCUGCAGGCUUCUAGGCUGGAGAUCAUGGCACCAUUUUGGCACUGAUUUGAGGGAACCCUGGGAAAGACAGGAUGGAAAAGAGAGGUCAUGAACUGAGACAGGAGGAUCACUUAGAAGAAUGAGUGAGAACCAGUGCCAAAGUAAUAUCAGUGACCAUGGGGCUUCCAGGAGAGAAUUAGAAUUGUUAUCAAAUCCAGAAGUUGAAGUCACAUCAUGCACUGGUUUGAUGAGUUCUUUAAUAAAAUUAUCGUGAACAUUUAAUAUAAGAUGUCUCCUGACUCUACCUGUUUUAUUGGAAGCUUUUCUGAGGAUGCCAUUGUCUUUGCUGCUGAAUUUUGCUGUUGAUAAGAAUGACAAGGUUGUUUCCUACUGAAGGUGUCAUUGGAGCAUGGACAAAGGUUGAGGAUUUGGGGUGCAAAGAUUGCCCAGUUAUUUUUUUGUGGAAAACCCACUCUUUAGAUUUCACAUAAAGUGUUCCGAAAAUGAGAGUUUCCAUUUAAUGUCAUUCCAUACCAUGUACUCAGGGAUAUGAGAGAGGAAAUAGGAGCUUUACUUUCAAGUGACUUGCAUUUUGCUUCUGAAAGAUUUAAAUAACUCAUGUGACAAGGUA
Oryctolagus cuniculus (rabbit) is the source of this 1396-nucleotide non-coding RNA. Lineage: Eukaryota; Metazoa; Chordata; Mammalia; Lagomorpha; Leporidae. The record is from RefSeq and is a predicted model, not a curated record.